This 234-nucleotide ribosomal RNA is filed under the name uncultured bacterium. RNAcentral's name for it is "partial 16S ribosomal RNA". It matches the Rfam family "Bacterial small subunit ribosomal RNA", at positions 96 to 334 of the family's 1533-position model. The record is from RNAcentral.
UGGCGGACGGGUGAGUAAUGUCUGGGAAACUGCCCGAUGGAGGGGGAUAACUACUGGAAACGGUAGCUAAUACCGCAUAACGUCGCAAGACCAAAGGGGGGACCUUAGGGCCUCUUGCCAUCGGAUGUGCCCAGAUGGGAUUAGCUAGUAGGUGGGGUAAUGGCUCACCUAGGCGACGAUCCCUAGCUGGUCUGAGAGGAUGACCAGCCACACUGGAACUGAGACACGGUCCAG